Molecule: ribosomal RNA, 468 nt
Filed under: uncultured bacterium
Lineage: Bacteria
Description: partial 16S ribosomal RNA
Rfam family: Bacterial small subunit ribosomal RNA
Source: RNAcentral
GACGAACGCUGGCGGCGUGCUUAACACAUGCAAGUCGAACGGAAAGGCCCUGCUUUUGUGGGGUGCUCGAGUGGCGAACGGGUGAGUAACACGUGAGUAACCUGCCCUUGACUUUGGGAUAACUUCAGGAAACUGGGGCUAAUACCGGAUAGGAGCUCCUGCUGCACGGUGGGGGUUGGAAAGUUUCGGCGGUUGGGGAUGGACUCGCGGGUUAUCAGCUUGUUGGUGGGGUAGUGGCUUACCAAGGGUUUGACGGGUAGCCGGCCUGAGAGGGUGGCCGGCCACAAUGGGACUGAGGUACGGCGCAGACGCCUACGGGAGGCAGUAGUGGGGAAUAUUGCGCAAUGAGCGGGAGCCAGAGGCGACAGCCCCGCGUGCGGAAUGACGGGCUACGGGUGAUAAACCGCUGUCGACUGUGACGAAGCGUGAGUGACGGUAAUGGGUAAAAAAGCACCGGCUAACUACGUG